This is a non-coding RNA of Sphaerodactylus townsendi, 511 nucleotides long. The record is from the annotation of a RefSeq genome assembly. NCBI's taxonomy places the organism in Eukaryota, Metazoa, Chordata, Lepidosauria, Squamata, Sphaerodactylidae.
CACAACUUUUCUUUGCCUGAUCUCCAUUCAACUCAAUCUAUCUCAAAGCAUCAGGAAUAAAUAAUGCGUUGGGUUCAAUUUGCUUUCUUUUUCAUGCUCUUCAGUGAUGGUCUGUCAUUGGUUCAGCUGGUGGAGUCCGGAGGCGGUCUUAGAAGACCCGGAGGCUCCAUCCAACUCUCCUGUCGAGCCUCAGGAUUCACCUUCAGCAGCUACUAUAUGUACUGGAUCAGACAGGCUCCUGGGAAGGGGCUGGAAUGGGUGGGCUACAUAGAUACAACCGGAAGUUCCAGUGUUUUCUCGGAUUCGGUGAGAGGUCGCUUCACCAUCUCCAGGGAGAACUCCAAGGGCUUGGUGAAGCUGCAAAUGAACAGCCUGAAGCACGAAGACACAUCCAUCUAUUAUUGUACAAGAGACACCAGAGACACAAUGAGAGGAAAUGAAUCUGCAGCUGGGCAAAAACCCGCCUCUGCUCCUAUCAGCUUUCCAGCCUGAUUCAUCUCCUGGAGACUGA